UGUGUUUGACUAGCUCUGCUUGCCAAACAGGCAUGGCAUCUCCUUGAUAAUCCCGACUCAUUGUGUGCUACUAUUCUAAGGGCCAAGUAUUACCCUAAUGGUGAUUUGCUGAACUCCAAGCCAAAACAUGGUGCUUUUUUCACCUGGCAAAGCAUUAUAGCAGGCAUUACUACUCUCAAGCAUGGCUAUAUUUGGCGAGUGGGGGAUGGACAUAACAUCAAUAUUUGGGAAGAUGUUUGGGUGCCAAAUUAUGCCACUAGAAAGAUUAUGACCCCUAAGGGGGGACAUUUGUUAUCAAAAGUGGUUGAUUUGAUUGACCCAGCCUCCAAUAAUUGGGAUGAGGACCCGAUUAGACAAACUAUGUGGCUCAUUGACACACAAUGGUUUCUUUCAAUCCCAAUUUCGCAACAUAAUAUGACAUAUUUUAUUGCCUGGAGUUAUAUGAAAAAUGGUAUGUUCUCAGUACGGUCUGCUUACCAUGUGGAGUGGAAUUAUCAGUAUGUGAGUAAACUAAAACAUUCGAACGGGAUGGGGCGAACCACACCUAACCCUAUAUGGUGUCAGAUAUGGAAGUUAUCUUGUCCGACAAAUGUCAAAAUCUUUUUAUGGCGGACACUACAUGGCACUCUCCCAUGUCGGGCAACACUCACUAAUAGACACAUGAAGUUCUCGCCUCUUUGUCUUUCCUGCUCCCAGGGUGUAGAAGAUACAAAGCACAUUCUUUUCCUAUGUAUAAAAGCAAAGGAGAUUUGGAAAAGGCUAGGGAUGGAUGUGAUUAUUGAUAAAGCUUGUGAGAUUGAUUGUGCUGGAGAAAAUCUAGCUAAUCUAGCAAAUGUACGAGAAAUGGGGUACCAAAAUGUACGAGAAAUGAUAGCUAUCUCAGCUUGGUAUCUAUGGUGGGAAAGACGAAAAUUAGUGCAUAAGAAAUUAACUCAGAAUGCGACUCAAAUAUCAAUGGGGAUCAUAUCUCUCAUAUAUAAUUUUGUAAAUGCAUCAUCUUCAAAGGCGUCUAUGAAAAGGGGGGGGGGGGUUUGGCACUGUCCUCCUAGGGGCUUCGUGAAACUAAAUGUUGACGUCUCACUAUUUGGGAAAUGCUUAUACACAGGAGUUUAG
This 1113-nucleotide ribosomal RNA is filed under the name Triticum aestivum (bread wheat). Its description in RNAcentral is "partial small subunit ribosomal RNA". The record is from RNAcentral. Lineage: Eukaryota; Viridiplantae; Streptophyta; Magnoliopsida; Poales; Poaceae.